Long non-coding RNA from Dipodomys spectabilis (banner-tailed kangaroo rat), 353 nucleotides. RefSeq lists it as uncharacterized. The transcript is spliced from 2 exons. Lineage: Eukaryota; Metazoa; Chordata; Mammalia; Rodentia; Heteromyidae. The record is from RefSeq and is a predicted model, not a curated record.
UUGGGUUUAAGCUUCUGGCACCCACGCGGGCCUGGGGCUGAGGGGCGGGUGGGGAUCCGAGGUCGAGGCGCGCUCCGGCAUGGCGGAGGCCCGAGCCGCGCCUUCUAAGUCUCUUUGGGCGCCAGCUACGUCGCUUGGGGUGAGCGGUCACAGCCACGCCGGUACAUACUGUGAUUUGUGAAGAUGUACUUGAUCCUUGUACCUGUUUCCUGUCAAGCAGCUGCUAAACCAUUGGAAUUGCUUAAGUGCUAAAUAUCUUUUUUUGUAUACUAAUGAGUUGAUUUGUUGCUGGGGCUCCUGGAUAGCCUAAGAAUGAGGAUCUGGUUGCAUGAAUAAACACGAUUUCUAAAUUA